RNAcentral lists this ribosomal RNA (478 nucleotides) under uncultured bacterium. Its description in RNAcentral is "partial 16S ribosomal RNA". It matches the Rfam family "Bacterial small subunit ribosomal RNA", at positions 28 to 523 of the family's 1533-position model. The record is from RNAcentral.
GACGAACGCUGGCGGCGUGCUUAACACAUGCAAGUCGAACGAUAAGGCCCUUCGGGGUACACGAGUGGCGAACGGGUGAGUAACACGUGGGUGAUCUGCCCUGCACUUCGGGAUAAGCCUGGGAAACUGGGUCUAAUACCGGAUAGGACCCUGGGAUGCAUGUCCUGGGGUGGAAAGCUUUUGCGGUGUGGGAUGGGCCCGCGGCCUAUCAGCUUGUUGGUGGGGUGAUGGCCUACCAAGGCGACGACGGGUAGCCGGCCUGAGGGGGUGACCGGCCACACUGGGACUGAUAUACGGCCCAGGCUCCUACGGGAGGCAGCAGUGGGGAAUAUUGCACAAUGGGCGCAAGCCUGAUGCAGCGACGCCGCGUGAGGGAUGACGGCCUUCGGGUUGUAAACCUCUUUCAGCACCGACGAAGCGCAAGUGACGGUAGGUGCAGAAGAAGGACCGGCCAACUACGUGCCAGCCGCCGCAGUAA